GACUCCGUGGCGCAACGGUAGCGUCUGACUCCAGAUCAGAAGGCUGCGUGUUCAAAUCACGUCGGGGUCA
Molecule: transfer RNA, 70 nt
Filed under: Orchesella cincta
Lineage: Eukaryota; Metazoa; Arthropoda; Collembola; Entomobryomorpha; Orchesellidae
Rfam family: tRNA
About the family: Transfer RNA (tRNA) molecules are approximately 80 nucleotides in length. Their secondary structure includes four short double-helical elements and three loops (D, anti-codon, and T loops). Further hydrogen bonds mediate the characteristic L-shaped molecular structure. tRNAs have two regions of fundamental functional importance: the anti-codon, which is responsible for specific mRNA codon recognition, and the 3' end, to which the tRNAs corresponding amino acid is attached (by aminoacyl-tRNA synthetases). tRNAs cope with the degeneracy of the genetic code in two manners: having more than one tRNA (with a specific anti-codon) for a particular amino acid; and 'wobble' base-pairing, i.e. permitting non-standard base-pairing at the 3rd anti-codon position.
Source: Rfam by way of RNAcentral